UGAGAAGCAUUGUAUGAUUGUGAGAUUGAGAACUGGGAUUAUUUUUUUUCCUUGCUGGCUCAUAUGUUAAGAAUAUUGUUUUUUAUUUUUAUGUUUAUUUUUUUUAGUAACUGUUAAUAUAUCUUUUUAUACUACUGGCUUCCUUUCCCUUUUUUCCCAAGUAUUUUUUUUUUCAAUGAUUAUAGAUUCACAUGCUUUGUUCCUCACGAGUUCCCAAAUCUUAACAUGGAAUGACUAUAAUUGUUGAAAUCCAUCUAAUGAUCUUUAAUUUUGGCAAUUGAGCAAACUUGGCACUGAUGUUGUUUGACCUUUUUGGCCUGUUACUCAAACUGUAUUAUGUUGUAGUGAAUUUGAGGAGCUUGAAGCA
Molecule: unclassified non-coding RNA, 367 nt
Filed under: Hevea brasiliensis (rubber tree)
Lineage: Eukaryota; Viridiplantae; Streptophyta; Magnoliopsida; Malpighiales; Euphorbiaceae
Source: RNAcentral